UCGUUGUUGAAUACCCUGUCCUUAGAGACACAAUUGGUACUGGUUGGACAACAAGCAUCCCAUAUGAUGACCACGAUGAAGGUGUUUUAGUGGGACACUUGGAAUUCAUGUCCAAAGAGAUGUCGAAGCGUGCUCCGGACCUCCAGAAAUUGAGCGAAUCGAUGAAGCAGACACGCUCUUCUAGGAGGUCGUGGAUGAAAGAUACAGUGCCUACAACAGCUGAGAUACUUGAAAAGUAUCCCGCUUUAGGAAAUGUUGAGAUGCUUCAUGAAGAAUUUACAGCAAUAACAAGCAUCCAGAUGGAAAAAAAAGCUGUUGGAAUUUUUCAACAACUUUGGACCCAGGAUUCUGGAGCUACUGAAAACUCGCCAUUCAACAAAGGACCUGGUGAAGGAGCUCGAGAAGGAGCUUGAAAAACUGGAAGGCAAUAGCCGUAAAUAUCGAUUUGCAGUUGCCUUAAUAGAACUCCUCCCACUGCUGCUGAAAGAGAAGCCGAAAUUUCUGAGGGGCCCUGACAUCUACCCUGCUCUUUGUUUUGAGGGAACAAGUAUCAGAGAGGCCGAAGAAAUGACCGUAGUGUUUGAGGCAUUCAACAUUCAUGUCGUCGAUGUUAUAGCCGGCAUGACGGCUAUCAUGGAACUGUAUUGGGUACUGGACAUCAUGUACUCGGAGAGUAACAAAAACACCUUAACGCUCCUCGAGUACUUUUGUGGACUACCAAGUGUGCCCAGAGCACCACUACUUUUAAGGACGAUUUCGUCGAUCAAGAGCUGAUCUGACAGCAAUGUGCAAUAAGCAGAGCUUAUAUAAUAAAGAUUGAAGUGUGUGUAUCAAA
This 835-nucleotide long non-coding RNA is filed under the name Rhipicephalus microplus (southern cattle tick). Its description in RNAcentral is "uncharacterized LOC119172407, transcript variant X1". Lineage: Eukaryota; Metazoa; Arthropoda; Arachnida; Ixodida; Ixodidae. The record is from RNAcentral.